GAACGCUGAAACCAGAUGCUUGCAUUUGGUGGAUGAGUGGCGAACGGGUGAGUAACACGUGGGUGAUCUGCCCUACACUUUGGGAUAAGCCUGGGAAACUGGGUCUAAUACCGAAUAUUCACACCAUCGUAGGGGUGGUGUGGAAAGCUUUAUGCGGUGUGGGAUGAGCCUGCGGCCUAUCAGCUUGUUGGUGGGGUAAUGGCCUACCAAGGCGUCGACGGGUAGCCGGCCUGAGAGGGUGUACGGCCACAUUGGGACUGAGACACGGCCCAGACUCCUACGGGAGGCAGCAGUGGGGAAUAUUGCACAAUGGGCGCAAGCCUGAUGCAGCGACGCCGCGUGGGGGAUSAAGGCCUUCGGGUUGUAAACUCCUUUCGCUAGGGACGAAGCCUUAUGGUGACGGUACCUGGAGAAGAAGCACCGGCUAACUACGUGCCAGCAGCCGCGGUAAUACGUAGGGUGCGAGCGUUGUCCGGAAUUACUGGGCGUAAAGAGCUCGUAGGUGGUUUGUCGCGUCGUCUGUGAAAUCCCGGGGCUUAACUUCGGGCGUGCAGGCGAUACGGGCAUAACUUGAGUGCUGUAGGGGAGACUGGAAUUCCUGGUGUAGCGGUGAAUGCGCAGAUAUCAGGAGGAA
RNAcentral lists this ribosomal RNA (634 nucleotides) under Corynebacterium glutamicum. RNAcentral describes it as "bacterial SSU rRNA". It matches the Rfam family "Bacterial small subunit ribosomal RNA", at positions 64 to 706 of the family's 1533-position model. The record is from RNAcentral. Lineage: Bacteria; Bacillati; Actinomycetota; Actinomycetes; Mycobacteriales; Corynebacteriaceae.